RNAcentral lists this ribosomal RNA (291 nucleotides) under uncultured prokaryote. RNAcentral describes it as "partial 16S ribosomal RNA". It matches the Rfam family "Bacterial small subunit ribosomal RNA", at positions 505 to 796 of the family's 1533-position model. The record is from RNAcentral.
GUGUAGCAGCCGCGGUAACACGGGGGGUGCAAGCGUUAUUCGGAAUCACUGGGCGUAAAGAGCGCGUAGGCGGUUUCUGAAGUCAGAUGUGAAAGCCCGGGGCUCAACCCCGGAAGUGCAUUUGAAACCAAGGGACUUGAGUAUGGGAGAGGGAAGUGGAAUUCCUGGUGUAGCGGUGAAAUGCGUAGAUAUCAGGAGGAACACCGGUGGCGAAGGCGACUUCCUGGACCAAUACUGACGCUGAGGCGCGAAAGCGUGGGGAGCAAACAGGAUUAGAUACCCCCGUAGUCC